This 500-nucleotide ribosomal RNA is filed under the name uncultured bacterium. RNAcentral describes it as "bacterial SSU rRNA". It matches the Rfam family "Bacterial small subunit ribosomal RNA", at positions 28 to 521 of the family's 1533-position model. The record is from RNAcentral.
GACGAACGCUGGCGGCGUGGAUUAGGCAUGCAAGUCGAACGGUAUCAUCCUUUCGGGGGUGAGAGAGUGGCGAACUGGUGAGUAACACGUAGGUUAUCUACCCUCAAGACGGGGACAACCCAGGGAAACUUGGGCUAAUACCGGAUGUGAGCAACUUUUAGUUGUUUGAAAGGUGGCGUAAGCUGUCGCUUGGGGAUGAGCCUGCGUCCUAUUAGUUAGUUGGUGAGGUAACGGCUCACCUAGGCAAUGAUAGGUAGGCGGCCUUAACGGGUGGUCGCCCACACUGGGAUUGAGAUACGGCCCAGACUCCUACGGGAGGCAGCAGUCGAGAAUAGUCUACAAUGGUCGGAAGACUGAUAGUGCGACGCCGCGUGAACGAUGAAUCCCUUCGGGGUGUAAAGUUCUUUUAUAUGUGAGCAGUGCUUCUUAUUUAACAGUAUGGGGAGAGAGAUAUUAGCAUAUGAAUAAGCAACGGCUAACUCCGUGCCAGCAGCCGCGGU